RNAcentral lists this ribosomal RNA (522 nucleotides) under uncultured bacterium. Its description in RNAcentral is "bacterial SSU rRNA". It matches the Rfam family "Bacterial small subunit ribosomal RNA", at positions 791 to 1311 of the family's 1533-position model. The record is from RNAcentral.
UAGUCCACGCCGUAAACGAUGAAUGCUAGGUGUCGGGGGUCGAACCUCGGUGCCGCAGCUAACGCACUAAGCAUUCCACCUGGGGAGUACGACCGCAAGGUUGAAACUCAAAGGAAUUGACGGGGGCCCGCACAAGCGGUGGAGCAUGUGGUUUAAUUCGAAGCAACGCGAAGAACCUUACCAAUUCUUGACAUCCUUUUGACCGUUCCUUAAUCGGAACUUUCCUUCGGGACAAAAGUGACAGGUGGUGCAUGGUUGUCGUCAGCUCGUGUCGUGAGAUGUUGGGUUAAGUCCCGCAACGAGCGCAACCCUUAUCUUUAGUAGCCAGCAUUUCGGAUGGGAACUCUAGAGAGACUGCCAGGGACAACCUGGAGGAAGGUGGGGAUGACGUCAAAUCAUCAUGCCCCUUAUGAAUUGGGGCUACACACGUGCUACAAUGGGUGGAUACAGAGAGAAGCGAAUGGGGUGACCUGGGAGCAAACCUCAUAAAGUCCAUCCCAGUUCGGGAUUGUAGUCUGCAAC